This 253-nucleotide ribosomal RNA is filed under the name uncultured bacterium. RNAcentral's name for it is "partial 16S ribosomal RNA". It matches the Rfam family "Bacterial small subunit ribosomal RNA", at positions 524 to 776 of the family's 1533-position model. The record is from RNAcentral.
UACGUAGGGACCAAGCGUUGUCCGGAAUCAUUGGGCGUAAAGAGCGUGUAGGCGGCUUGUUAAGUCUUGCGUGAAAUCUCGGGGCUCAACCCCGAGCGGUCGUGAGAAAUUGGCAGGCUAGAGUGCGGGAGAGGAGAGUGGAAUUCCUGGUGUAGCGGUGAAAUGCGCAGAUAUCAGGAAGAACACCCGUGGCGAAGGCGGCUCUCUGGAACGCAACUGACGCUGAGACGCGAAAGCGUGGGGAGCGAACAGG